Molecule: ribosomal RNA, 253 nt
Filed under: uncultured bacterium
Lineage: Bacteria
Description: partial 16S ribosomal RNA
Rfam family: Bacterial small subunit ribosomal RNA
Source: RNAcentral
UACGUAGGGUGCGAGCGUUGUCCGGAAUUAUUGGGCGUAAAGAGCUCGUAGGCGGUGUGUCACGUCGGCCGUGAAAACCUAAGGCUCAACCUUGGGCUUGCAGUGGGUACGGGCAGACUAGAGUGCGGUAGGGGUGACUGGAAUUCCUGGUGUAGCGGUGGAAUGCGCAGAUAUCAGGAGGAACACCGAUGGCGAAGGCAGGUCUCUGGGCCGAUACUGACGCUGAGGAGCGAAAGCGUGGGGAGCGGACAGG